RNAcentral lists this ribosomal RNA (467 nucleotides) under uncultured bacterium. RNAcentral's name for it is "partial 16S ribosomal RNA". It matches the Rfam family "Bacterial small subunit ribosomal RNA", at positions 28 to 507 of the family's 1533-position model. The record is from RNAcentral.
GACGAACGCUGGCGGCGUGCUUAACACAUGCAAGUCGAACGGAAAGGCCUUUUUCGGGGGGUACUCGCGUGGCGAACGGGUGAGUAACACGUGUGUAACAUGCCCUUGACUUUGGGAUAACUUCAGGAAACUCGGGCUAAUACCGGAUAGGAGCUCCUGCUGCACGGUGUGGGGUGGAGAGUUUCGGCGGUUGGGGAUUGGCUCGCGGCUUAUAAGCUUGUUGGUGGGGGAGUGGCUUACCAAGGCUUUGACGGGUAGACGGCCUGGGAGGGUGACCGGCCACAUUUGGGCUGAGAUACGGGCCAGGCUCCUACGGGAGGGCACAGUUGGGAAUAUUGCACAAUGGGUGGAAGCCUGAUGCAGCCACGCCGUGUGCGGGAUGACGGCCUUCGGGUUGUAAACCGCGUUCGCUCAUUACGGAGCUUUGUGUGACGGUAGUGGGUAAAGAAGCACCGGCUAACUACGUG